RNAcentral lists this ribosomal RNA (235 nucleotides) under uncultured bacterium. RNAcentral describes it as "partial 16S ribosomal RNA". It matches the Rfam family "Bacterial small subunit ribosomal RNA", at positions 524 to 757 of the family's 1533-position model. The record is from RNAcentral.
UACGUAGGGUGCGAGCGUUAAUCGGAAUUACUGGGCGUAAAGCGUGCGCAGGCGGUUUUGUAAGCCAGAUGUGAAAUCCCCGGGCUUAACCUGGGAAUGGCAUUUGGGACUGCAAGGCUCGAGUGCGGCAGAGGAGACUGGAAUUCCCGGUGUAGCAGUGAAAUGCGUAGAUAUCAGGAGGAACACCGAGUGGCGAAGGCAGGUCUCUGGGCUGACACUGACGCUCAUGCACGAA